GGGGGCGAACUGGUUUCGACCGGAUAGGCGAAGCGGCAAGCGGCGUGUCGUGGUUGAUCAGUGGGCCACGUAAAAAGCUGAUCGCACCUUCAAUUGCCGAAGGUUCCUACGCUUUGGCUGCCUAAUUAAGGCAACCCGGGCUGCGGGCUGACGUCGGGUCGGCCCAAAAGCCCGUCAACAAUCCCGACUAGCCGCCAGUCACCGUCGGGCACGCUGGCGGCGAAAUUAAGUUCCUGACUAGCUCUGGCAGAGCCUUGUCGACGAGGCGCCGCCCGAGCGAAACCAAACUCGCCGACUACACACGUAGAAGCUUCCGUAGAGAUAUCCCGGGACGCGGGUUCGAUUCCCGCCGCCUCCACUU
Molecule: transfer-messenger RNA, 361 nt
Filed under: Planctomycetota bacterium
Lineage: Bacteria; Pseudomonadati; Planctomycetota
Also listed under: 1 other name
Description: Planctomycetes bacterium transfer-messenger RNA
Rfam family: transfer-messenger RNA
About the family: Bacterial tmRNA, also known as 10Sa RNA or SsrA, is named for its dual tRNA and mRNA-like properties. Its role is to liberate the mRNA from a stalled ribosome.
Source: RNAcentral